This 482-nucleotide ribosomal RNA is filed under the name uncultured bacterium. RNAcentral describes it as "partial 16S ribosomal RNA". It matches the Rfam family "Bacterial small subunit ribosomal RNA", at positions 30 to 507 of the family's 1533-position model. The record is from RNAcentral.
AUUGAACGCUGGCGGCAUGCCUUACACAUGCAAGUCGAACGGUAACGGGCCUUCGGGUGCCGACGAGUGGCGAACGGGUGAGUAAUACAUCGGAACGUGCCCGAUCGUGGGGGAUAACGAGGCGAAAGCUUUGCUAAUACCGCAUACGAUCUACGGAUGAAAGCAGGGGACCGCAAGGCCUUGCGCGGACGGAGCGGCCGAUGGCAGAUUAGGUAGUUGGUGGGAUAAAAGCUUACCAAGCCGACGAUCUGUAGCUGGUCUGAGAGGAUGAGAAGCCACACUGUGACUGAGACACGGCCCAGACUCCUACGGGAGGCCGCAGUGGGGAAUUUUGGACAAUGGGCGCAAGCCUGAUCCAGCCAUGCCGCGUGCAGGAUGAAGGCCUUCGGGUUGUAAACUGCUUUUGUACGGAACGAAAAGCCUUCUUUUAAUACAGGAGGGUCAUGACGGUACCGUAAGAAUAAGCACCGGCUAACUACGUG